This 213-nucleotide long non-coding RNA is filed under the name Mytilus galloprovincialis (Mediterranean mussel). Lineage: Eukaryota; Metazoa; Mollusca; Bivalvia; Mytilida; Mytilidae. The record is from RNAcentral.
GUUACAUAUUUGUUUUUCGUUCAUUUUUUUUACAUAAAUAAGGCCGUUAGUUUUCUCGUUUGAAUUUUUUUACGUUGUCUUAUCGGGGCCUAUUAUAGCUGAUUAUGCGGUAUGGGCUUUGCUCAUUGUUGAAGGCCGUACGGUGACCUAUAGUUGUUAAUGUCUGUGUCAUUUUUGGUCUUUUGUGGAUAGUUGUCUCAUUGGCAAUCAUAC